AAAGUAAAAAAAAUAAUGUAACAAGUAGAACAUACAAAAAAACUAAACAUUGUAUUCAUAUUAGCCAAAAUGCCGGAAACAAACAAAAUACAAAAUACAUCAAUCAAUAUAGCUGGUACCGGAAACGGCUUCAAGUACUAAAUAAGUGCCGAAAACAGAUACAAAAAGAUUUCAAGUCACUAUAUAAGUGCCGAAAACAGAUACAAAAGAGUUCAAGUAACUAUAUAAGUACCGAAAACAGAUACAAUAGUGGUAAAAACAUCAACUCCCGAUCAACUUUGCCCCUUCCAAUUUAUGUCAAAAUAGUGAGCCACCCUUUCAAUAGAAAACCUCCUCCAAGUUGGACCUAUAAUCUGCACAAUUGCAGAGAAUUUUGGGUAUUUCUGUGCAAUAGCAACAACAGCAUGCAUUUGAUUUUCAUUCCUGACCAGUAUCCUCUCCUGCUUCACAACCCACCGCUCAAUUCUACCCAUAUUCCGGCGGGUUUUUCCCACAGCUGGAUGAUCACCGAUCCAUUUUGUCAUCCUCCCAUACCUUCCGAGAUGUGUAGUGGGUGAAACGACCCAUUAUUACUCUUUCAAAAGCGCCAAACUAAAAUUUUGAUAGAAGCCCGAAAUCAAAUUGUGAGAAGUGAUUCACUCAACUCUAUGAGAUUUGUUUUAUAUAAGAGAAAAGGGAAAUAUUUUAGCGGCAAGGAAGCUAAUUGUGCUUUUUUUUUUUUUUUUAAUUAAUAAUUUGUAAUUUUCCCUCCAUUUGAUAUUGAUGAAUGAUGACGUUUUUGAGUUAAUGAAUUCAAUGAUUUUGAAAAAAAAAAUCUGUUCCGAUAACAUGUUGAGUAAAACUAUGUACAUAAAAAACUAAUUAUUUAUGCAAGUUUAACUAUUAUUGUAUUUUAUUAAAUGAUGAAUUCAAAAAAAAAAUAUAUAUAUAUAUAAAAAGAGAUAAACAUCUGAUUUGAUUUUAAAUAAACACAUAAAAAUCAUGGCAGAGUUUGCAUACAUACAAGUAAUCAUUGUAGCAUCUAGAUAGCUCCACUUGAGCAUUUUAUGGUAGAAGAUGUUGUUCUCCAAUGAAAUAUUUGUUUGAUGUGUUUGAGAUUAGACAGUGGUGUACAAACUUAUUUAGAUAUUGUAAUGAGCUGGUCGGUCAUUUUUGGAAAGUCUCGUGAAUUUAUCGUUUUGUCCUUCUUGAUAUCGACCUCGAGUAUUUUAUGAUUGAGUUUGAAAAGUUGAUUUGAUCUUGGAGUUAAAAGUUGAGAAUUUUGUAAGUUUUGGGUUUGAAAGGCUAAUAUUGUUAAGAAAAUGGUUUUUGGAGUCCUUUGGAGUUUUGACUGUCGGAAUGAAAUUCUAUUGAUUCCAUCAAUCUCGAAAUUGGAAUCUCAGAUAUGAGAUUUGUCGGUUUCAGAUUCUGAGUCUUUUUGAGGAAUUGUUGUGAAAUGGUGAAAAUUUAGCCAUUGGGUUGACAUUGGUCAACAUUCGGGGUUCGGACGUUCGGAUUGAAAUUCUGAGGGCUCUACUGGGUUUGGGAGAUGAUUUUAGGCCUAAGCGAGAUUCCCUUGUCGCGAUCACGUAGCACUAAUUUGAGUUGCAUCGUGAUGGUCAACUUUAAUGAGUUGACUGAUUUUACUCAUCAAUUAUUUGCUCAUUAACUCAACUUUAUCAAAAGAAGUGCCACAAAAUGGUAUCUAUUUAAUAACACAAUUAUAAUUUUAUUUAAAGAAUUUCAUGAAAAUGUAAAACUCGACUGAAACCACAUUAGAAAGGAAGAAAGUAAAUAUAAGAAAUGACAUUACACACUCCAUACUGAUAUUUUAACAUGUACAAUUUGCAAAUUAAUCAAACAAAUUUGCAUGAAUUAAUUAGCUCAUCCCAUAAUUUAUGAAUUCAAAUGUCUGUAAAUUGAACUAAAUAACAGACUAAUUUUUUCAUUUGUUCGUCAUUAAUUUCCUCUUCUUUGUAUGUUCUUCCUUUACCACACAAUAUUUAUUGGUGUGUAUUUGACAUCAAAUCUACACCUCCUCUAGCCAGCUUUAUAUAUAUAUAUAUAUAUAUAUAUAUGUAUGUAAUUACCAUAUAAGUAGAUAAAACAAAUAAGAAAAGUAUUACUUUAACUUAAAUAACAGAGUACAGUUCAUUAAUGAUAUUAUGCUACCAAGUUAUUAAAAUUGAAUGUUUUUCUUCUGAAGUUUGAUAAGUUAAAUUUAUGUGCAUAUGUAAAAUUUGAAGUAGAAAAAACUUCGGCAUAAAAUAUAAAAUAGAAAAAUAACUUUUUCAAUAUAAUUUUGUUUCACAUUCUCUCCCACCUAAAAAAGAUACGCCCAAUACAAACUCAUUUAUUAGUUCAUGACAAAAUAAAGUAAAAUAAGCACAAUACAUUCUAGUUUGGAUGGAAUAAUUAAUUACCUUGUUACAAUUUAAAUACUAAAACCUAUAUUGAACAAUUAAUCAUCCUAAAUCUAUAUAUAUAUAUAUAUAUAAAGGAGGAUCUUCAGCCCGCUGAUAUGACAUGCCUCAAUGAUCAGGAAAUCUUUUUAUCUAUUUUCUCAGAUUUUUGGGUUUCUUUUCCCUAUUUUUCCAUGUAAAUGGAUUUUAAUUAAGGCUACAAUAAUUAAUAGAUUCUAAUCAAUUAUUAAUUAACGUUUAUUAAAGAGGAAAAUACUUUUUCAAAUUUUAAUUGUAACCGUGUCUUUUCCAUGUAAAUGGAUUUUAACUAAGGCUACAAUAAAUAAUUAAUAGAUUCUAAUUCAUUAUUAUCUAUCGCCAAAGAUUGUAUUUAUCUUUUUUUCUCCUUUUUUUUUCCGACAUUUUUUCUUAUUUUUUCUACAAUAAUUUAUUUUUUAAAAUUAUUUUCAUAACUUGCAUCUUUUCAUCUUUAUAAGUACUUUUAAUUAGUAAUUAAUAAAAUUUAUAACUAUCAAACAUUUCAUCUUCAAAACGUCUAAUUAAUUAAUGCAAAAGUUUAUAUAUCAUCCACUAAGUACAUAUCAAACAAGUUCCUAUGUGAAUCUUAAUCAUUCAUUUUAAUGCAGGUAAGUUCCUUCAACAUUAUUUUUUCCUCUUGGUGCUUAUUUUUGUUUUUUUAUUUCUUAGUUAAAAGUUGUUACGUUGAUGCAACUUAUUUAUAAUUAUAAGUUUUAUUGGUAUAUAAUGUGCUCUUCACAAUUAAAAAUUUUAUUGGUCAACGACCAAAACAAGCCAAUAGCCAUUGAGGAAAUUAGUAUUAUCAAAUGAUGGUAACAUUAGUAUAAACUGUAAUUGAUUGUAAUAAUUUUCUUGAAAUGUUUUUCAAUGUUAAUAGUGUUUGACAUAAAUAAAUUACUCUAUAUGCAUAUGUUAAUGGCAAAAGUACUCAUUACCCUCCUGAACUUGAAGCUUUUUAUACGGUGUACACCUAAACUAAAUUUCAUUUUAAUUACUUCGGAACUUGUUUAUUCCUCCGUCGCGUACACCUUUUUCGUCCACCUGGCGUAGAAAUUGACAACACACUCUACUAGGCGCGUGAGGAAGUGAUUUUUUGCCACAUCACAAAGCUACAACGGUAAAAAAAAACGUAAAAUCUCCAUUUUUCUUUAAUAUUUGGCAUAUUUUAAACGAAAAAUAGGGAAAAAUGUAAAUGAAAAGUAAAGGAAACAAAGAUUAACACUUACUUGGUAAGAAUUUCAGACAAAUUUGAAAUUUAAUCGACCAACUUCACGUCUAGAAAAACAAUAUGCCAAAUAUUAAAGAAAAAUGGAGAUUUUACAUUUUUUUUACUGUUGUAGCUUUGUGAUGUGGCAAAAAAUCACUUCCUCACGCGCCUAGUAGAGUGUGUUGUCAAUUUCUACGCCAGGUGGACAAAAAAGGUGUACACGACGGAGGAAUAAACAAGUUCGAGGGGUAAUUAAAACGGAAUUUAGUUUAGGUGUACAUCGUAUAAAAAGCUUCAAGUUGAGGGGGGUAAUGAGUACUUUUGCCUAUGCUAAUUAGAUACGAAUGUUCAAUAUGCCCAAUCCAAAUAUUCUUCGACGUUUCUCAAAUGCACCAUCACGGAAUGAACGAGCAUUGGGGUUGCAGUCUAUCUAUAUAUAUAAUAGGAGAAGUAAAAAGUGUCAUAUGUCAGCACCAUAAAAAUUUAUCCAUUUUUUAGUUUUAAAAAUUAAAUUUUAAAAUAAUUUAAAUCUGUAUUAGUUAGUAAUUUUAAAUUUAAAUUUUAAAAUUUUAAAAAAUCAAUAUAUUUUGAACGAAUUAUUUUCAAAAUUAAAAAGUUACCAUAGAUAAAGUGCCACAUGUCAACACCACAAAUUUCUCCAUUUUUUAGUUUUAAAAAUUAAAUUUUAAAAUAAUUUAAAUCUGUAUUAGUUAGUAAUUUUAAAUUUAAAUUUUAAAAAAUCAAUAUAUUUUGAACGGAUUAUUUUUAAAAUUAAAAAGGUUACCAUAGAUAAAGUGCCACAUGUCAGCACCACAAAUUCCUCCAUUUUUUAGUUUUAAAAAUUAAAUUUUAAAAUAAUUUAAAUCUGCAUUAGUUAGUAAUUUUAAAUUUAAAUUUUAAAAUUUUAAAAAAUCAAUAUAUUUUGAACGGAUUAUUUUUAAAAUUAAAAAAGUUACCAUAGAUAAAGUGCCACAUGUCAACAUCACAAAUUUCUCCAUUUUUUAGUUUUAAAAAUUAAAUUUUAAAAUAAUUUAAAUCUGCAUUAGUUAGUAAUUUUAAAUUUUUAAAUUUUAAUUUUUUUUAAAAUCAGUAUAUUUUGAACGGAUUAUUUUUAAAAUUAAAAAGUUACCAUAGAUAGUAUAACUCUUCUUCAUUCUUUAGAAAUAACUGAUUAGAUGGCUAAUGUUUAAAUUUUAUUGGACUCUUAUAUUUAUUCUAAUUAGAAUAUUUAUUUUUAUCCCAUAUAUUUGUGAGUAUAAAUGGGUAAUGGGGUACCUGUUGUGUAAUUUUGUUUUUAAAAAAAACUGUCAAAAAAUUAAAAUAAAACAAAGCUGUCACCGUAUUAAAACUGCCACCACGUUUAAAGCUAUAUAAUAUAGCUUUUAAUCUUUUUUCCCAAUCUCUCAAUAAUUGAUUUUCUCUCUUUGAUUCUCUAUUUCCGUAUCAUUUUCCAUUAUUGAUUCUCUAGAAAAAUUUAAAAGUCUUCAAUUUACAGAAAAAAAGAAGUGAAGAAGAUCACACCCCCCCCCCACCCCACCCCGCAAAAAAUAAGAAGAAGAAGAAUGAUUAUGUUAAUACCAAUUUUUUUUAUUGAAGAUCAUAUAUUUGUUCUCUGUUUUAUAUUUGUGUUACAAAAUGAAUUUAAAAUGUAUUUUCAAUUGAUUCAUCUUUUUUUUUUUAUGUAUAUGUAUUAUCUGUUUCCACAUAAUAAAAUUAUAAUUUUGAUUUCUUUAGGAAUGAAGCACUUCUAGGACUUCAUCACAGACCGAAGAAUUCUCCACCAGGUAAAACACAAAAUUUGGGAGUCUUUAUUUUCUCUUUUGUUAUAUCUUUUAAAUUAUAAAUAAAAUUUAAAUUGUGAGGAUUGCUAUUAAAAUUAUUAUGAAAAAUAUUUUUUCAUUUAAAAUCAACUCAUAUCGUUAGUAAUUUAAGUGCAUUGAGAAGAUAUGAAAUUCUAUUAACCUUAUAAGUUUUUAAUUUGUAUUUAAUUAAAGGUCAUAUGUAGAAGAAAAAACUUAUAUUCAAUCAUUCAUUCUUGCUUAUAAUGAUGUUGGUCAUAAAACAAGAAGAAAUAUGUAAAUUUUUAAUUUUGUCAUUCAUUCAGAAAAUUCUAAUGUGCUACUAAUUAUCAUUAUAUUGACCAUAGUUGUUUGAAAAGUGUUUGAUAUAUAAUUUUCAUACCAAUUCUUAUCAAUAUCAACAUUUGAAUUUUUAUCUUUACAAAAGUUAUACAGAAAAAAGAAUUUGAAAUUAAAUAAAAUAUUUUUAAUAAAAAAGUAGCUUUGUGAAACGGUUCCACUAAUUAAGACAAAUUCAAAGGUUACAUGUGUAAUCACAUACUAAACACUUAAUGUGAAAACAGUUAGAGAAGAUAUCAUGGGGUUAUAUUUUUUGUUUGAUAAAAAAAGAGGGGCAUAAAUAGAGCAAAUAAUUAAAUGCUAAACAUUAUUGUUAACAAAUUUAGACAAUGGAAGAAUUCUAAGCAAUAAAAUAUAGAAUAACAAUAAUUUUAAAAUUUCACGCUUAUGAAAAAUAUGUAUUAAUUGAUAUCUUUUAGUUAUAUAUAAUAUGAGACGUAAAAACUGUCACGUGUCAUCACCAUAAAAAAUAGUAUUUUUCACAUUAGAAAUAAAAGUUGAUUCAAAUUCCAUCUAUUUGUAAGUAAAAGGAAGAAAGUCUAGCAUCAAAACAAAAUUCAAUUUAAUCUUAAAAUACCUUUAAGUGUAAUUGUUUGUCUUUAACUUACAAAAAAUCAAAUUCAAAUUUUAAUAGUUUCUAUUAUUUUUGAAAUUUUAUUUUUUUUAAAUCAAAUUUUGGCAACUGUUUAAAAUAAUGAAAUCUAAAAGUAUUUUCAAUUAUAAAAGAAACAGAAAGAAAUGUGAGUUAUUAGUAUUAUUUUUUGAAUACUCCCUCCGUCCCUAUUUAGUUGUCCACUUUAGAAAUGACACACAGAUUAAUGCAACAAUGAUUAGCAUAGUGAAGUUACAAUUUUACCCUUAUAGUACAAUUUACAAUUCCAAAAUAAAUUCACUCAAGAUAACUAAUCAAUGCUCGCAUAAGUUUAUUUACUUUAUUUAUGACAACUUUUCACUUCAAAAUUACAGCCACUUCUUUGAAUUCAAGUGAAAUAAAUUGGAGGGAAACAACAUACACUUUUACAAUAUUUUGUAACAUUUAAAAAUUUCCACUAAAAUAUUUUGUUAUAAAAAAAUGCUUCAAUGAAAUGAGAAAUCAAACAACCAAUGGAUACAAGACAAAAUAAAUCAAGUUCAAUGAAUGGAAUAGAUUUAAAUAUUUAUGUUGAAGUGGAUCUUCAAUCAAUAUAAGUGAGUCUUCUACUUUGAUAGGAGUAUUAGUUGAAACUUCAACUUUAUUUCUGUCCAUUUUUUUAGUAAAAAAAUUGUUCAAAAUUUUUACUCAUAAACUAACAAAAUGCUUUAUGGGUAACUUAAAGGACUGUGUAACUCCGCAAGCAUAAUAAAUGUAUUGUCUAGUUCCAAAAAUGAUGAAUUACAGCUUACUAGAAAUUUUCAAGAAGUUUAAAUAAGGGUAUAAUAGAAAAAAAUUAUUGUCCUUUCUUGAUUUGUCAAAAUGGACAACUAAAUAGGGACAUCUAAAAAAGGAAAUAUGAACAACUAAAUAGGAACGGAGGGAGUAGAAUAUAAGAUAAAUUUUAGACCAUGAAGAAAAAAGCAUUUUUGUUGAAGCUAUUCUCUUGAAAUGUCCAAACAAAUAGGGAAGACUUACCUGAUGCUCUAGCUCCUUAUGCAGUGGUAUUAGCUUUCUGAGCUCAAUCUGCAGAGGAUAAAGAAACAAAGGGUGAGUCGUCCUGUUAAGGGGACUUUUCAAGCUUAAAUGCUUCCAUUCAGCGAUCUUACCUAGAGUUGGAAAAGAUACACGACUUUUGAGUUGAAGAAGUCUUCAAAGAGUUUGAAUCCAUGGCAUUAGUGAGACUGGUUAAUACCCGGAUGGAUGUCGCUCAAAUUCAAAAAAUUGUGUUGAAGAUAGAGAUCGAUCGGUGAGGUUGCUGCUAUGCCAAGGGAGAAGAAGACCGUCACUUUCCUUUUUGUUUCUGGGUUUCUUUAAUUUUGUUUGUAGUUGUUUACAUGGGCUUGGGUCACUUUUGGACCCAAGCUCCUUAGUUGUAUUGAUUUUUAAUAAAUGGGCC
RNAcentral lists this long non-coding RNA (7795 nucleotides) under Solanum tuberosum (potato). Its description in RNAcentral is "long non-coding RNA (STUB_LNC000042)". The record is from RNAcentral. Lineage: Eukaryota; Viridiplantae; Streptophyta; Magnoliopsida; Solanales; Solanaceae.